UACGUAGGUGGCGAGCGUUUUCCGGAUUUACUGGGCGUAAAGAGCGCGCAGGCGGUCGGCCAAGUCGAGUGUGAAAGCCCCCGGCUCAACUGGGGAGGGUCACUUGAUACUGGUCGACUCGAAGGCGGGAGAGGGAAGUGGAAUUCCCGGUGUAGUGGUGAAAUGCGUAGAUAUCGGGAGGAACACCAGUGGCGAAGGCGACUUCCUGGCCCGUUCUUGACGCUGAGGCGCGAAAGCUAGGGGAGCAAACGGG
Molecule: ribosomal RNA, 253 nt
Filed under: uncultured bacterium
Lineage: Bacteria
Description: partial 16S ribosomal RNA
Rfam family: Bacterial small subunit ribosomal RNA
Source: RNAcentral